This 301-nucleotide ribosomal RNA is filed under the name uncultured bacterium. Its description in RNAcentral is "partial 16S ribosomal RNA". It matches the Rfam family "Bacterial small subunit ribosomal RNA", at positions 509 to 807 of the family's 1533-position model. The record is from RNAcentral.
CAGCCGCCGCGGUAAUACGUAGGGUGCGAGCGUUAAUCGGAAUUACUGGGCGUAAAGCGGGCGCAGACGGUUACUUAAGCAGGAUGUGAAAUCCCCGGGCUCAACCUGGGAACUGCGUUCUGAACUGGGUAACUAGAGUGUGUCAGAGGGAGGUAGAAUUCCACGUGUAGCAGUGAAAUGCGUAGAGAUGUGGAGGAAUACCGAUGGCGAAGGCAGCCUCCUGGGAUAACACUGACGUUCAUGCCCGAAAGCGUGGGUAGCAAACAGGAUUAGAUACCCGGGUAGUCCCUGUCUCUUAUAC